CGAGCGGUAACAGAUCUAGCUUGCUAGGUGCUGACGAGCGGCGGACGGGUGAGUAACGCGUAGGAAUUUACCUAGUGGCGGGGGACAACAUGCGGAAACGCAUGCUAAUACCGCAUACGCCCUAUGGGGGAAAGCAGGGGGGACCUUGCACCAUUAGAUGAGCCUGCGUGAGAUUAGCUAGUUGGUGAGGUAAGAGCUCACCAAGGCGACGAUCUCUAGCUGGUCUGAGAGGAUGAUCAGCCACACUGGGACUGAGACACGGCCCAGACUCCUACGGGAGGCAGCAGUGGGGAAUAUUGGACAAUGGGGGCAACCCUGAUCCAGCCAUGCCGCGUGUGUGAAGAAGGCCUUAGGGUUGUAAAGCACUUUCAGUUGGGAGGAAAAGUUAUAGUUUAAUAAACUAUAGCCCUGACGUUACCAACAGAAGAAGCACCGGCUAACUCCGUGCCAGCAGCCGCGGUAAUACGGAGGGUGCAAGCGUUAAUCGGAAUUACUGGGCGUAAAGCGCGCGUAGGUGGUUUGUUAAGCGAGAUGUGAAAGCCCCGGGCUCAACCUGGGAACUGCAUUUCGAACUGGCAGGCUAGAGUAUGGUAGAGGUAAGUGGAAUUUCCUGUGUAGCGGUGAAAUGCGUAGAGAUCGGAAGGAACAUCAGUGGCGAAGGCGGCUUCCUGGACUGAUACUGACACUGAGGUGCGAAAGCGUGGGGAGCAAACGGGAUUAGAUACCCCGGUAGUCCACGCCGUAAACGAUGUCUACUAGCCGUUGGGAGACUUGAUCUCUUAGUGGCGCAGCUAACGCAAUAAGUAGACCGCCUGGGGAGUACGGCCGCAAGGUUAAAACUCAAAUGAAUUGACGGGGGCCCGCACAAGCGGUGGAGCAUGUGGUUUAAUUCGAUACAACGAAGAACCUUACCUGGUCUUGACAUCCUACGAACUUACUAGAGAUAGUUUGGUGCCUUCGGGAACGUAGUGACAUGUGCUGCAUGGCUGUCGUCAGCCGUGUGUGAAAUGUGGUAGUCCCGUACGAGCGCACCCUGUCUAGUGCAUCAUUAGUGGGACUCUAGAGACUGCCGUGACAACGAGAGCGGGACGACGUCAGUCAUCAUGCCUACGGUAGGCUAACCACGUGCUUCAUGGCAGUACGAAGGGCGCUAAGGCGCGGAGGGGAGCUUAUCUCCAAAACCUGUCUUAAUCCGGCAUGGAUCGCAACUGCACUCUUGAUCGGCAACGCUUAUAACUGGAAGCGAAAAGUGCAGCGGUGGAAAAAAAUAUCG
Molecule: ribosomal RNA, 1273 nt
Filed under: uncultured prokaryote
Description: partial 16S ribosomal RNA
Rfam family: Bacterial small subunit ribosomal RNA
Source: RNAcentral